GGUUAAGCGACUAAGCGUACACGGUGGAUGCCCUGGCAGUCAGAGGCGAUGAAGGACGUGCUAAUCUGCGAUAAGCGUCGGUAAGGUGAUAUGAACCGUUAUAACCGGCGAUUUCCGAAUGGGGAAACCCAGUGUGAUUCGUCACACUAUCAUUAACUGAAUCCAUAGGUUAAUGAGGCGAACCGGGGGAACUGAAACAUCUAAGUACCCCGAGGAAAAGAAAUCAACCGAGAUUCCCCCAGUAGCGGCGAGCGAACGGGGAGCAGCCCAGAGCCUGAAUCAGUGUGUGUGUUAGUGGAAGCGUCUGGAAAGGCGUGCGAUACAGGGUGACAGCCCCGUACACAAAAAUGCACAUACUGUGAGCUCGAUGAGUAGGGCGGGACACGUGGUAUCCUGUCUGAAUAUGGGGGGACCAUCCUCCAAGGCUAAAUACUCCUGACUGACCGAUAGUGAACCAGUACCGUGAGGGAAAGGCGAAAAGAACCCCGGCGAGGGGAGUGAAAAAGAACCUGAAACCGUGUACGUACAAGCAGUGGGAGCACGCUUAGGCGUGUGACUGCGUACCUUUUGUAUAAUGGGUCAGCGACUUAUAUUCUGUAGCAAGGUUAACCGAAUAGGGGAGCCGAAGGGAAACCGAGUCUUAACUGGGCGUUAAGUUGCAGGGUAUAGACCCGAAACCCGGUGAUCUAGCCAUGGGCAGGUUGAAGGUUGGGUAACACUAACUGGAGGACCGAACCGACUAAUGUUGAAAAAUUAGCGGAUGACUUGUGGCUGGGGGUGAAAGGCCAAUCAAACCGGGAGAUAGCUGGUUCUCCCCGAAAGCUAUUUAGGUAGCGCCUCGUGAAUUCAUCUCCGGGGGUAGAGCACUGUUUCGGCAAGGGGGUCAUCCCGACUUACCAACCCGAUGCAAACUGCGAAUACCGGAGAAUGUUAUCACGGGAGACACACGGCGGGUGCUAACGUCCGUCGUGAAGAGGGAAACAACCCAGACCGCCAGCUAAGGUCCCAAAGUCAUGGUUAAGUGGGAAACGAUGUGGGAAGGCCCAGACAGCCAGGAUGUUGGCUUAGAAGCAGCCAUCAUUUAAAGAAAGCGUAAUAGCUCACUGGUCGAGUCGGCCUGCGCGGAAGAUGUAACGGGGCUAAACCAUGCACCGAAGCUGCGGCAGCGACGCUUAUGCGUUGUUGGGUAGGGGAGCGUUCUGUAAGCCUGUGAAGGUGUGCUGUGAGGUAUGCUGGAGGUAUCAGAAGUGCGAAUGCUGACAUAAGUAACGAUAAAGCGGGUGAAAAGCCCGCUCGCCGGAAGACCAAGGGUUCCUGUCCAACGUUAAUCGGGGCAGGGUGAGUCGACCCCUAAGGCGAGGCCGAAAGGCGUAGUCGAUGGGAAACAGGUUAAUAUUCCUGUACUUGGUGUUACUGCGAAGGGGGGACGGAGAAGGCUAUGUUGGCCGGGCGACGGUUGUCCCGGUUUAAGCGUGUAGGCUGGUUUUCCAGGCAAAUCCGGAAAAUCAAGGCCGAGGCGUGAUGACGAGGCACUACGGUGCUGAAGCAACAAAUGCCCUGCUUCCAGGAAAAGCCUCUAAGCAUCAGGUAACAUCAAAUCGUACCCCAAACCGACACAGGUGGUCAGGUAGAGAAUACCAAGGCGCUUGAGAGAACUCGGGUGAAGGAACUAGGCAAAAUGGUGCCGUAACUUCGGGAGAAGGCACGCUGAUACGUAGGUGAAGCGACUUGCUCGUGGAGCUGAAAUCAGUCGAAGAUACCAGCUGGCUGCAACUGUUUAUUAAAAACACAGCACUGUGCAAACACGAAAGUGGACGUAUACGGUGUGACGCCUGCCCGGUGCCGGAAGGUUAAUUGAUGGGGUUAGCGCAAGCGAAGCUCUUGAUCGAAGCCCCGGUAAACGGCGGCCGUAACUAUAACGGUCCUAAGGUAGCGAAAUUCCUUGUCGGGUAAGUUCCGACCUGCACGAAUGGCGUAAUGAUGGCCAGGCUGUCUCCACCCGAGACUCAGUGAAAUUGAACUCGCUGUGAAGAUGCAGUGUACCCGCGGCAAGACGGAAAGACCCCGUGAACCUUUACUAUAGCUUGACACUGAACAUUGAGCCUUGAUGUGUAGGAUAGGUGGGAGGCUUUGAAGUGUGGACGCCAGUCUGCAUGGAGCCGACCUUGAAAUACCACCCUUUAAUGUUUGAUGUUCUAACGUGGACCCGUGAUCCGGGUUGCGGACAGUGUCUGGUGGGUAGUUUGACUGGGGCGGUCUCCUCCUAAAGAGUAACGGAGGAGCACGAAGGUUGGCUAAUCCUGGUCGGACAUCAGGAGGUUAGUGCAAUGGCAUAAGCCAGCUUGACUGCGAGCGUGACGGCGCGAGCAGGUGCGAAAGCAGGUCAUAGUGAUCCGGUGGUUCUGAAUGGAAGGGCCAUCGCUCAACGGAUAAAAGGUACUCCGGGGAUAACAGGCUGAUACCGCCCAAGAGUUCAUAUCGACGGCGGUGUUUGGCACCUCGAUGUCGGCUCAUCACAUCCUGGGGCUGAAGUAGGUCCCAAGGGUAUGGCUGUUCGCCAUUUAAAGUGGUACGCGAGCUGGGUUUAGAACGUCGUGAGACAGUUCGGUCCCUAUCUGCCGUGGGCGCUGGAGAACUGAGGGGGGCUGCUCCUAGUACGAGAGGACCGGAGUGGACGCAUCACUGGUGUUCGGGUUGUCAUGCCAAUGGCACUGCCCGGUAGCUAAAUGCGGAAGAGAUAAGUGCUGAAAGCAUCUAAGCACGAAACUUGCCCCGAGAUGAGUUCUCCCUGACCCUUUAAGGGUCCUGAAGGA
This 2813-nucleotide ribosomal RNA is filed under the name Shigella flexneri. RNAcentral's name for it is "partial 23S ribosomal RNA". It matches the Rfam family "Bacterial large subunit ribosomal RNA". The record is from RNAcentral. Lineage: Bacteria; Pseudomonadati; Pseudomonadota; Gammaproteobacteria; Enterobacterales; Enterobacteriaceae.